AAUUAUAUAUUCUAAUUUAUAGGAUAUUGAAUUGCAAGUUCAAAGGAAAAAUGCAUUAUUUUUAUAAUUU
Molecule: transfer RNA, 70 nt
Filed under: Pityogenes bidentatus
Lineage: Eukaryota; Metazoa; Arthropoda; Insecta; Coleoptera; Curculionidae
Description: tRNA-Cys
Source: RNAcentral